UACGAACCGUCCAAACGUUAUUCGGAUUCAUUGGGCUUAAAGGGUACGUAGGCGGCCCUGUUAGUCGGGUGUGAAAUCCCUCGGCUCAACCGAGGAACUGCGCCCGAUACUGCAGGGCUUGAGGGAGACAGAGGUAAGCGGAACUGAUGGUGGAGCGGUGAAAUGCGUUGAUAUCAUCAGGAACACCAGUGGCGAAAGCGGCUUACUGGGUCUCUUCUGACGCUGAGGUACAAAAGCUAGGGGAGCGAACGGG
Molecule: ribosomal RNA, 253 nt
Filed under: uncultured bacterium
Lineage: Bacteria
Description: partial 16S ribosomal RNA
Rfam family: Bacterial small subunit ribosomal RNA
Source: RNAcentral